Molecule: ribosomal RNA, 253 nt
Filed under: uncultured bacterium
Lineage: Bacteria
Description: partial 16S ribosomal RNA
Rfam family: Bacterial small subunit ribosomal RNA
Source: RNAcentral
UACGUAGGACCCGAGCGUUGUCCGGAUUUACUGGGUAUAAAGGGUGCGCAGGCGGCCGUGUGCGUCAGAGGUGAAAUCUCCGGGCUUAACCCGGAGGGUGCCUUUGAUACGGCAUGGCUUGAGUCCGAGAGAGGGUGAUGGAAUUCCUGGUGUAGCAGUGAAAUGCGUAGAUAUCAGGAGGAACACCGGUGGCGAAGGCGGUCACCUGGCUCGGCACUGACGCUCAGGCACGAAAGCGCGGGGAUCAAACAGG